ACUAUGCCUAGCCGUAAAACAUGAUGUAACAACACCCGCCAGAGAAUUACACGCAACCGCUUUAAACUCAAAAGACUUGACAGUAUCUCAUACACCUAGAGGAGCCUGUCCUAUAACCGAUAACCCACGAUCAACCUUACCCUCCCUUGCACAAACCAGCCUAUAUACCUCCGUCGACAAUACGCCUGUUAACAGUUACAUAGCGUGUAUAAUAGCCUACCACUAACACGACAGGUCAAGGUGUAGCUAAUGGGCGGGACAGCGAUGGGCUACAUUUUCUUCACUAGAAAACACCCAACAUGUAAUGAAAACUCCACAUAAAGGCGGAUUUAGCAGUAAGCAGCAGCAAGGAAAGCUCACCUGAAACCUCACAUG
RNAcentral lists this ribosomal RNA (375 nucleotides) under Uroplatus phantasticus. Its description in RNAcentral is "partial 12S ribosomal RNA". It matches the Rfam family "Bacterial small subunit ribosomal RNA", at positions 789 to 1376 of the family's 1533-position model. Lineage: Eukaryota; Metazoa; Chordata; Lepidosauria; Squamata; Gekkonidae. The record is from RNAcentral.